UGGCGGCAGGCCUAACACAUGCAAGUCGAGCGGUAACAGAAAGUAGCUUGCUACUUUGCUGACGAGCGGCGGACGGGUGAGUAAUGCUUGGGAACAUGCCUUGAGGUGGGGGACAACAGUUGGAAACGACUGCUAAUACCGCAUAAUGUCUACGGACCAAAGGGGGCUUCGGCUCUCGCCUUUAGAUUGGCCCAAGUGGGAUUAGCUAGUUGGUGAGGUAAUGGCUCACCAAGGCAACGAUCCCUAGCUGGUUUGAGAGGAUGAUCAGCCACACUGGAACUGAGACACGGUCCAGACUCCUACGGGAGGCAGCAGUGGGGAAUAUUGCACAAUGGGCGAAAGCCUGAUGCAGCCAUGCCGCGUGUGUGAAGAAGGCCUUCGGGUUGUAAAGCACUUUCAGUCAGGAGGAAAGGNUGUGAGUUAAUACCUCACAUCUGUGACGUUACUGACAGAAGAAGCA
Molecule: ribosomal RNA, 460 nt
Filed under: marine sediment bacterium ISA-1322
Lineage: Bacteria
Description: bacterial SSU rRNA
Rfam family: Bacterial small subunit ribosomal RNA
Source: RNAcentral